GUGGGGAAUCUUGCGCAAUGGGCGAAAGCCUGACGCAGCCAUGCCGCGUGAAUGAUGAAGGUCUUAGGAUUGUAAAAUUCUUUCACCGGGGAUGAUAAUGACGGUACCCGGAGAAGAAGCUCCGGCUAACUUCGUGCCAGCAGCCGCGGUAAUACGAAGGGGGCUAGCGUUGCUCGGAAUUACUGGGCGUAAAGGGCGCGUAGGCGGACAGCUUAGUCAGAGGUGAAAGCCCAGGGCUCAACCUUGGAAUUGCCUUUGAUACUGGCUGUCUUGAGUUUGGGAGAGGUGAGUGGAACUCCGAGUGUAGAGGUGAAAUUCGUAGAUAUUCGGAAGAACACCAGUGGCGAAGGCGACUCACUGGCCCAAUACUGACGCUGAGGCGCGAAAGCGUGGGGAGCAAACAGGAUUAGAUACCCGGGUAGUCC
RNAcentral lists this ribosomal RNA (425 nucleotides) under uncultured bacterium. RNAcentral's name for it is "partial 16S ribosomal RNA". It matches the Rfam family "Bacterial small subunit ribosomal RNA", at positions 354 to 796 of the family's 1533-position model. The record is from RNAcentral.